RNAcentral lists this small nucleolar RNA (138 nucleotides) under Ornithorhynchus anatinus (platypus). Lineage: Eukaryota; Metazoa; Chordata; Mammalia; Monotremata; Ornithorhynchidae. The record is from RNAcentral.
ACCCUCUCAGGGUUGCACCUGGAGAGUUUCCAGUACUCUACCAGUCUUGGCUAAGGGAGGGAGAGUCAAGCAGAGGCAUAUCCCUUCCAUUCCUAGCUUGGGUAGUGGCUAACAAGUGGAAGGCAAUCUGCUACAACU